RNAcentral lists this ribosomal RNA (278 nucleotides) under Glomeromycota sp. RNAcentral describes it as "partial small subunit ribosomal RNA". It matches the Rfam family "Eukaryotic small subunit ribosomal RNA", at positions 569 to 850 of the family's 1831-position model. Lineage: Eukaryota; Fungi; Glomeromycota. The record is from RNAcentral.
AGCAGCCGCGGUAAUUCCAGCUCCAAUAGCGUAUAUUAAAGUUGUUGCAGUUAAAAAGCUCGUAGUUGAACUUCAGGCCUGGCUGGACGGUCCGCCUUCUGGGUGAGUACUGUCUGUGGUCGGGUCCUACCUUCUGGCGAAGCGUCAUGGCCUUCACCGGCCGUGGCGGGGAGCCAGGACUUUUACUGUGAAAAAAUUAGAGGGGUCAAAGCAGGCACGCGCUUGAAUACAUUAGCAUGGAAUAAUGGAAUAGGACAGUGGGUCUAUUUGUUGGUUUU